AGUCUGAUGCAGCGAGCCGCGUGAGGAGUAGCCUUCGGGUGUGACCUCUUUCGCUCUGGUCAAGCCGCAGCUUUGGGUUGUGGUGAGGUAGUGGGUAAAGAAGCGCCGGCUAACUACGUGCCAGCAGCCGCGGGUAAUACGUAAGGGCGCCAACGUUGUCCGGAAUUAUUGGGGCGUAAAGGGCUUGGUAGGUGGUUGGUCGCGUCUGCCGUGAAAUCCUCUGGGCUUAACUGGGGGGCGUGCGUGGGUACGGGGCUGGGCUUGAAGUGGCGGUAAGGGAGACUGGAAAUUCCUGGGUGGUAGCGGUGGAAUGGCGCAGAUAUCAGGAGGAACACCGGGUGGGCGAAGGCGGGGUCUCUGGGGCCGUUACUGACGCUGAGGAGCGAAAGCGUGGGGAGCGAACGGAUUAAAUACCCUGGUAGUCCACGCUGUAAACGUUGGGCACUAUGUGUGGGGCCACCCGUGGUUUCUGCGCGUA
RNAcentral lists this ribosomal RNA (478 nucleotides) under Schaalia cardiffensis. Its description in RNAcentral is "bacterial SSU rRNA". It matches the Rfam family "Bacterial small subunit ribosomal RNA", at positions 380 to 849 of the family's 1533-position model. Lineage: Bacteria; Bacillati; Actinomycetota; Actinomycetes; Actinomycetales; Actinomycetaceae. The record is from RNAcentral.